This 468-nucleotide ribosomal RNA is filed under the name uncultured bacterium. RNAcentral describes it as "partial 16S ribosomal RNA". It matches the Rfam family "Bacterial small subunit ribosomal RNA", at positions 28 to 507 of the family's 1533-position model. The record is from RNAcentral.
GACGAACGCUGGCGGCGUGCUUAACACAUGCAAGUCGAACGGAAAGGCCCUGCUUUUGUGGGGUGCUCGAGUGGCGAACGGGUGAGUAACACGUGAGUAACCUGCCCUUGACUUUGGGAUAACUUCAGGAAACUGGGGCUAAUACCGGAUAGGAGCUCCUGCUGCAUGGUGGGGGUUGGAAAGUUUCGGCGAUUGGGGAUGGACUCGCGGCUUAUCAGCUUGUUGGUGGGGUAGUGGCUUACCAAGGCUUUGACGGGUAGCCGGCCUGAGAGGGUGACCGGCCACAUAGGGACUGAGAUACGGCCCAGACUCCUACGGGAGGCAGCAGUGGGGAAUAUUGCACAAUGGGCGGAAGCCUGAUGCAGCAACGCCGCGUGCGGGAUGACGGCCUUCGGGUUGUAAACCGCUUUCGCCUGUGACGAAGCGUGAGUGACGGUAAUGGGUAAAGAAGCACCGGCUAACUACGUG